UUUUUACUUAUAUGUCUUUGUUUAGGAGUAAUAUUUAGUAUAUUUUUAGUUUGAUUUUCUUGUCAUUGGACAUAGUUUAGGAGUUUGUAAUGAGAUAUUAUUAAUUUAGUAUAAUUUUAGUUGUUUUUAUUAUAUGAUCAUGGGUGAAUUUUAUGACAAAUAUUUUUGUCAUGAAUUAAAUUAAUUCAUCACAAGUUGAUUACAUUCAGUG
Molecule: long non-coding RNA, 211 nt
Filed under: Solanum tuberosum (potato)
Lineage: Eukaryota; Viridiplantae; Streptophyta; Magnoliopsida; Solanales; Solanaceae
Description: long non-coding RNA (STUB_LNC011275)
Source: RNAcentral